CGAGCGAGGCGCGGUAGCAAUACCGCAGUCGAGCGGCGAACGGGUGAGUAACACGUGGGUGACCUGCCUCGAGGUGGGGGAUAACCCGGGGAAACUCGGGCUAAUACCGCAUAACAUCGCAAGAUCAAAGGUGGCGCAAGCUACCGCCGCGAGAGGGGCCCGCGCCCGAUUAGCUAGUUGGUGAGGUAACGGCUCACCAAGGCGACGAUCGGUAGCCGGCCUGAGAGGGCGUUCGGCCACACUGGAACUGAGACACGGUCCAGACUCCUACGGGAGGCAGCAGUGGGGAAUUUUGCGCAAUGGGGGCAACCCUGACGCAGCAACGCCGCGUGGAGGAUGAAGGUCCUUGGAUUGUAAACUCCUGUCAGCAGGGAAGAAGCUAACCCGGGCAAAUAGUCCGGAGUGGUUGACGGUACCUGCAGAGGAAGCCCCGGCUAACUCUGUGCCAGCAGCCGCGGUAAUACAGAGGGGGCAAGCGUUAUUCGGAAUUAUUGGGCGUAAAGGGCGCGUAGGCGGCUUCGCAAGUGGUGGGUGAAAUCCCUCGGCUUAACCGAGGAACUGCCCUCCAGACUGCGUUGCUGGAGUCCGGGAGAGGUGAGUGGAAUUCCCAGUGUAGCGGUGAAAUGCGUAGAUAUUGGGAGGAACACCAGUGGCGAAGGCGGCUCACUGGACCGGAACUGACGCUGAGGCGCGAAAGCGUGGGGAGCAAACGGGAUUAGAUACCCCGGUAGUCCACGCCGUAAACGAUGAGUGCUUGGUGUAGCGGGUAUCGACCCCUGCUGUGCCGAAGUCAACACAUUAAGCACUCCGCCUGGGGAGUACGGUCGCAAGGCUGAAACUCAAAUGAAUUGACGGGG
This 857-nucleotide ribosomal RNA is filed under the name uncultured Acidobacteriota bacterium. RNAcentral describes it as "bacterial SSU rRNA". It matches the Rfam family "Bacterial small subunit ribosomal RNA", at positions 63 to 918 of the family's 1533-position model. The record is from RNAcentral. Lineage: Bacteria; Pseudomonadati; Acidobacteriota.